This 253-nucleotide ribosomal RNA is filed under the name uncultured bacterium. RNAcentral's name for it is "partial 16S ribosomal RNA". It matches the Rfam family "Bacterial small subunit ribosomal RNA", at positions 524 to 776 of the family's 1533-position model. The record is from RNAcentral.
UACGUAGGGGGCUAGCGUUGUCCGGAUUUAUUGGGCGUAAAGAGCGUGUAGGCGGCUUGUACAGUCAGGCGUGAAAUUCCUGGGCUCAACCUGGGGGCUGCGUUUGAUACGUGCGGGCUUGAGUUCGGAAGAGGGUCGUGGAAUUCCCAGUGUAGAGGUGAAAUUCGUAGAUAUUGGGAAGAACACCGGUGGCGAAGGCGGCGACCUGGUCCGAUACUGACGCUGAGGCGCGAAAGCUAGGGGAGCAAACGGG